RNAcentral lists this ribosomal RNA (433 nucleotides) under uncultured bacterium. RNAcentral's name for it is "partial 16S ribosomal RNA". It matches the Rfam family "Bacterial small subunit ribosomal RNA", at positions 29 to 507 of the family's 1533-position model. The record is from RNAcentral.
AACGAGCGCUGGCGGCAUGCCUAACACAUGCAAGUCGAACGAGACCUUCGGGUCUAGUGGCGCACGGGUGCGUAACGCGUGGGAACCUGCCUUUAGGUUCGGAAUAACUCAGAGAAAUUUGAGCUAAUACCGGAUGAUGUCUUCGGACCAAAGAUUUAUCGCCUUUAGAUGGGCCCGCGUUGGAUUAGCUAGUUGGUGGGGUAAAGGCCUACCAAGGCGACGAUCCAUAGCUGGUCUGAGAGGAUGAUCAGCCACACUGGGACUGAGACACGGCCCAGACUCCUACGGGAGGCAGCAGUGGGGAAUAUUGGACAAGGGGCGAAAGCCUGAUCCAGCAAUGCCGCGUGAGUGAUGAAGGCCUUAGGGUUGUAAAGCUCUUUUACCCGAGAUGAUAAUGACAGUAUCGGGAGAAUAAGCUCCGGCUAACUCCGUG